Molecule: unclassified non-coding RNA, 3144 nt
Filed under: Hevea brasiliensis (rubber tree)
Lineage: Eukaryota; Viridiplantae; Streptophyta; Magnoliopsida; Malpighiales; Euphorbiaceae
Source: RNAcentral
GGGAACUUCGAUCUUUGAUAGAUAUCAACCAAGAAGCAAGGGUUAAAUUAACUAAACAUAAAUUAAAAUGAAGCAAGUAAACAACUCCAAAUAUCUCCUGAGAAGUGAAAUAAACUUUACUACUUGGACUCGAUGCUCAACAUUAAUUUUAAUGACAAUUUUGCAGAAUCAUUUUGUGACAAGAAGCCAAUCAACUCCAAAGCUUCCGACUGAAAAUAUGGGAAUCACGUUAUACUUUCCAGUUUCCUCCCUUAUCAUUGCGGACAAAAAUAAUUGCCAGUUUCUUAAUACAUUCCAAAACAUAAGUUAGUCUCCAAACCCUGGAGAUACAUGUUACAGCAGUAGAAUCCACCAUCUGCUGUCAAACAAGUAGGAAAAAUGUAACUUUAAUCUUCAAGCUCAAUAAUUUUAACCACGGAUGCAUCUCCAACUUUCUGGCAAACAACUACUCUGUCUCGUGACUUUAUAACUCCAGAGGCCUUUCCAUGAUCGAGAGCUACCUUUAAGACCGACUCAUUUGUUGCAUUUGUAGAUUCCGCCUAUAAAGCCAUAUAGGAUAUCAGAUUUCAUAAUUGUAUUCAAUGAAUGCCACGACGUACAGAAAUCAGUUUGGAAACCAGGUUCUCUAGGCAGGAAAAAUGCAGAACUAAGGUUAAAUUUAGCCAAGGUUGUGCCCAGAUCAGGAUGGCCACAAAACUUCACACGACGGUUUUACUUACAAUGAAGACAAGAAUGAGUUAUUCAGUUGCUAGAGGCUCAUGAUCAUUGCAUUCAAUAACAGCAAAAACUAUUCCUACAAGGAAAUGGGAGUACAAAUCUCACCCUGGCAAGCCUAGACUCACUAAUCACAAGUCUAGCCUAGACUCUCUAUUGUAACAUAAAAAUAAUUAGAUUCCAUUUUAGUUUUAACUCUGACAAUCAAAUAAAACCGCCAUGACCAACCCAAGCCACGCCAUAAUUUGUUUAACCAAGAAAAGAAGGCCAUAAGUUCUAUAAAUACUAUAAUAAUAAACAAAAAUAGCCAUCACAUAAAGAUAGAAACCUCGCUCAUCUUCCAAGAAAGCACCGAACUGCAUGAAAAUAAAAUAAACACUUACAGGAUGUCGUGGAUCAGCAAGCAUAGGGAAGAGACCUCUAACAAUGAGUGAUUGCCUUGCCUGAAUAUUGAUAUGUAGACAACAAAGUUCCAUUAGCUAUAAUAUCAAGAGGGUGGCAUGAAGCAGAAGCAUCAUAUAAUACUAUAGCUACAGCCUACAAGCAACAUUAAUAGGACAGGUAGGCAAAACAGACAAUUCUCAAAUGACAAAAGCAUGAUGCGAUCAACUAAAAAUCUUUCUAAGAUCCUAUAUAUAUUUUGCUAAUUUCAUGAAUAGAAUAAAGUGAGUUGGAAGACGGUCAUUGUGUUGUGUCACUAGAUGAAUCUCCAGAACACAAGUAAAAAUGCUUAAUUAAUUUGUAUGCACCAUUAAUACAUAUGUAUAAAACAAUGAACACACAACUUCAUCCAGUAAGCAUAAAACCCAAAGGAGUCGAGAGCAUACUUCAAACGCCCCACUGAAGCUCCAUCUCAGUUGAUUUGUCUUGAGCCGAGGGAUGACAACAGACAGAACUGGCAUUGUUGGCCUAUACUUGGCAAUCAAUCUUGCAGCCCUUCCUGAUGAAGUGAAGCAAAUAAUGACAGAUGCCUUCACUUUAAUUGCUGCUCUUACCGCAGAGGAAGCAAUUGAUUCCAAGUGGGUCAUUGGCUCUCCAACAUAUUUGACAGUUUUCUUGAAAUACAUGUCUUGAUUAAAAACCUUUUCUGCCUCAGCACAAAUUUUACCAACAGUAGAAAUGGUUUCAACAGGGUACAGUCCACGAAGAGUCUCAGCACCAAGAAGAAUUGCAUCACUUCCAUCCAACACAGCGUUGGCAACAUCAGUAGCUUCUGCACGAGUUGGUCUCAGGUUGCCAGUCAUACUGUCCACAACACGGGUAACCACUGCAGGCUUGCCAACCACAUUGCAUUUGUAAAGGGCAGCUUUCUGGAACAAGAACACCUUCUCAGGAGGGAGGUCUAUCCCCAAAUUCCCACGGGAAAGGAUAAUGCCAUCAGCUUCUUGUAAUAUCUCAUCAAAAUGGGUUAAUCCUUCGACGUUUUCAAUCUUGGCAAAAAUUUGAGUCUGAUAGAGGUCACCCAGCUUAGAGAGGCACUCACGGGCCUGCCGCACAUCUUCUGCAUGUCGGGUAUAGGACAACGAGAGGAAGUCAAUUUUGUUUUGGACUCCCCAGGUACUUAUAACCUCCUUAUCUUUAUCAGAAAGCGUAGGCAGGUCAAUACGAAUUUGAGAAGCAUGCAGAGUGAACAAUGACCCUGCCAAAGUUGCAGAGUUCUUUAUCACACAAAUCACAUCGCUGUCCUUCACCUCAGAAACCUCCAGCCACACAGAUGUAGUCUCACUUCCAGUAAAUAGGUAUUGACCAACAAAAAUGGUGUCUCCCGGUUUCACUGCCUUAGAUAGCCCAUCAAAAUUGAUGGGCAGAACUUCUGAUGAGGCUUCUUUUUCUUGAUUUGGUGUUAGAACAACAAGACCAUCAGCCAGGAGAGAAAUGGAUUUCUCACUUUUGUUAACGACCUGCAACUCAGGGCCCACUGUAUCCAGCAUUACAGCACAGAGCUUCUUAGUGUUUUUAACAGCCGCCUUCAAGUUCUCCAGCGUCUCCUGGUGAUACUCCGAGUCACCCCAAGAAAAAUCGAACCGAGCCACAGACAUUCCAGCCUUGAGGCAGCCAGAAAUAACAUCAACGGAUCGAGACUUAGGACCUAGAGUCCCCACAAUCUUCGUCAUUGCUGGAAAGAAACUAGCUUUUGAUGGCUCCAGGAUUGAAGCCAUCCUUAUCGGCUCCUCGAGAAGCAAAUGACUCGCAUGCAUCUUCGCGGAUUAAUAACGAAAUAAAUAACAAAAAUACAACAAAAAAAUGGAAUUGGGUAAGAACAAAAUUGAACUGAGAUUUAGUGUUUGGCGUGAAUCGAGCGCAGCAGCUGAAGCUCUUGGCUUUUGAUUUGCUUAUAGUCCCUCCUGACCUUCGAAUAUGCUCUCGCGUAAAUGCUGCUUUUAAAAACCUUGAAAACCUGAUAUUACUAGAAACAGAGCCUUGUAAGAA